Molecule: ribosomal RNA, 397 nt
Filed under: uncultured bacterium
Lineage: Bacteria
Description: partial 16S ribosomal RNA
Rfam family: Bacterial small subunit ribosomal RNA
Source: RNAcentral
AUACGUAGGGGGCGAGCGUUGUCCGGAAUGAUUGGGCGUAAAGGGCGCGUAGGCGGCGCGGUAAGUCUGGAGUGAAAGUCCUGCUUUCAAGGUGGGAAUUGCUUUGGAUACUGCCGCGCUUGAGUGCAGGAGAGGUUAUCGGAAUUCCCGGUGUAGCGGUGAAAUGCGUAGAGAUCGGGAGGAACACCAGUGGCGAAGGCGGGUAACUGGACUGCAACUGACACUGAGGCGCGAAAGUGUGGGGAGCAAACAGGAUUAGAUACCCUGGUAGUCCACACUGUAAACGAUGAAUGCUAGGUGUAAGAGGUAUCGACCCCUUUUGUGCCGGAGUCAACACAAUAAGCAUUCCGCCUGGGGAGUACGGCCGCAAGGUUGAAACUCAAAGGAAUUGACGGGG